GAGAGAGAGAGAUUCUAUUGAAUAAUUGAACCGGUCGGGUCAAUCGGAUCACAACAGUUCACAGGUUCAACCGCCGAGUCGACCAAAUCAUGACAGGUAACUUCCUCAUCUAGUUCAAUUACAAACCUGAACCGGUUUCAAAGCAGUUCACCGAUUUACUGGUUCAACCGCCGGUUUGGUUCAAAUUUAAUAACUAUGCAUUAUGUUACUUAAAUAUUU
RNAcentral lists this unclassified non-coding RNA (219 nucleotides) under Hevea brasiliensis (rubber tree). The record is from RNAcentral. Lineage: Eukaryota; Viridiplantae; Streptophyta; Magnoliopsida; Malpighiales; Euphorbiaceae.